This 88-nucleotide transfer RNA is filed under the name Candidatus Altimarinota bacterium. Its description in RNAcentral is "tRNA-Ser". It matches the Rfam family "tRNA". From Rfam's summary of the family: Transfer RNA (tRNA) molecules are approximately 80 nucleotides in length. Their secondary structure includes four short double-helical elements and three loops (D, anti-codon, and T loops). RNAcentral also lists the same sequence under 3 other names. Lineage: Bacteria; Candidatus Altimarinota. The record is from RNAcentral.
GGAGAGGUGGCUUAAUUGGUAAAGCACUCCUCUGCUAAAGGAGCAUGGUUAAUACCCAUUGCAGGUUCAAAUCCUGUCCUCUCCGCCA